This 1574-nucleotide long non-coding RNA is filed under the name Rattus norvegicus (Norway rat). RNAcentral's name for it is "long non-coding RNA NONRATT033763". The record is from RNAcentral. Lineage: Eukaryota; Metazoa; Chordata; Mammalia; Rodentia; Muridae.
GUCUGUAUAACCAAUGUGAACCCCGGAGCAAGUCUCAGCAAGUACCAUUUCUCUCCUUAGAGGAGUCUCCUAGUGGUUCCCGUCCAGACCUGGGAAAGUAUCCAACUCUCUGUGCCUCAAUAUACUGGUCUGUUAAAUGGGCCUCCUAGGAAACUCAGUGAAGUAAGCAAUACAAAUAAAUGCCUUAUGAGGUCACAGAGGUCACCCAGAAUCCCAACCCUCUGCUUUGAUGCCCUCAGUCUGUUCUCUACACUUGCCGAAGCACAUUUGUGCAGGAGAGCCAAAGCUAUGAGCCUCCCUGAGUGGGGAUGGUCAGGCAGAACUAAAAAGGCCAAGUUCUGUACCUUGAGGCGUCACUACCCAGAAUUUCCCGGCCCUCAUGAGGCCUGCAUCUCUCGCAACGAGCCACCAGGAGGCGCCCCGCGCCUACAAAUCCUCCUCAGGGCCGCCUACGUGAGGAAGUGUUUCCCUGACCGCAGCCAGGCUUCCACAGCUGAGCAGGCUACAGUGUGGCCAAGGUCCCGCCACUGAGCCUGCCACCAAUGCUUCUCCGGCUCCCACCAAGGCCAAGUUUCUGCUCUUUUCCUGAGUCCCCACCUGCGAAUGUCUCAGCCUCAUUGCAAGCACAGCGACCAUUGCUGGUCAGGGUCUGGUUUGGUCUGUUCUCAUCACGGCCACAGCUCCUUAGUCUCAGUCCAUCCCAGGUUUCUAUGCAGCAAAUGUUACUGCUGCUUUGUUCAGACUCAUCCUGUGCGUUAACGCUUAGGCCUGGGCCACCGGGGCGGGAGGUCAGAGCCUGCAAGAGAACAGUCACUGCCUACCGGGACUUCUCCUGGCUUCCUUAAUCGUGGGUAGAGGCUCCACUUGGAAACCACCAGCGGCAAACAGCUCCUGAAUUUUUUUGAUUACAUUUUUAGUUAUGUUUUGUUUGUUUGUUGUCUGUGAACUUAUGUCACAUCAAGUGUGUGCAGGUCAGAGGACAACUUGCAGGUGUCAAUUCUUCCCUUCAACCAUGUGGGUCUCUGGGAUUGAACGCUGGCCCUUAGGCUUAGACACAGUUACCCACUCAGUCGUUUAUCCAGCCUUCAAAAGUAUAGUAUUUUUAAAUACUUGUAAGCUGGAGAUGGUGGUACAGAUGUACAGUCCUGCUAUUUGCUGUCUGAGAUGGUGCCUGUGUAGCCAGCACCUUCAUGGGGGUUUUGCAUAGGGAACAUUGUUGAUCUCUCAACAGCCCAGUGACAGAGGUCUGGGCUUGACUCCAUUGAAAAAGAUGUCCCUCAGGCUGGAGGGACCUUAAGUGAUUUGCUGAUGAGCUGAACAGCUGACCAGGUCCUCCAUGCCCCCUUACCUCCUCCUGAGACCUUCUCUUUAUAACCCCCUCCCACACAUAGGCACUCAGGACCCCCAAUAGCCAGAUCUAUUCCAGCUCCCAGCUCAGAGUAGGCUCCUCUGCAUCUUCGAUGGUGAGCUAGGCUGGGGCUGGCUUUAGUUGUAGGGCCAGAUCCUCCCUGUACAGUGGCCCUGGAGAGAACCACACUGACCCUAGCGGUUGGAAGCACAGUUGCUAGAUCCCC